Molecule: ribosomal RNA, 462 nt
Filed under: uncultured bacterium
Lineage: Bacteria
Description: bacterial SSU rRNA
Rfam family: Bacterial small subunit ribosomal RNA
Source: RNAcentral
GGGAGGCAGCAGUGGGGAAUUUUGGACAAUGGGCGCAAGCCUGAUCCAGCAAUGCCGCGUGAGUGAAGAAGGCCUUCGGGUUGUAAAGCUCUUUUGUCAGGGAAGAAACGGUGAUUUCUAAUACAGAUUGCUAAUGACGGUACCUGAAGAAUAAGCACCGGCUAACUACGUGCCAGCAGCCGCGGUAAUACGUAGGGUGCAAGCGUUAAUCGGAAUUACUGGGCGUAAAGCGUGCGCAGGCGGUUUGGUAAGACGGAUGUGAAAUCCCUGGGCUUAACCUAGGAAUUGCAUUCGUGACUGCCCGGCUAGAGUGUGUCAGAGGGGGGUAGAAUUCCACGUGUAGCAGUGAAAUGCGUAGAUAUGUGGAGGAAUACCGAUGGCGAAGGCAGCCCCCUGGGAUAACACUGACGCUCAUGCACGAAAGCGUGGGGAGCAAACAGGAUUAGAUACCCCUGUAGUCGC